Toxorhynchites rutilus septentrionalis is the source of this 728-nucleotide long non-coding RNA. RefSeq lists it as uncharacterized. Lineage: Eukaryota; Metazoa; Arthropoda; Insecta; Diptera; Culicidae. The transcript is spliced from 3 exons. The record is from RefSeq and is a predicted model, not a curated record.
CAGAUAUCUACAAUCAGCGGUCGAAUUAAAAACAGUGCAGAAGGAUGUUUUGAGGAAAAAGAAUCGUACGUGGUACGAAUUUAUCGGCACAAUCUGAUCAAGGACGGAGGCAUCAUCAAACGGAAACUACGCGAGAAACUUUUCGAAGAGAUAAAACUGCGCCGCAACACUCGUGUCAAACAGGACGAGUUGGGCUGGGUGCUGAUGAACCACGAUUUGAUAACACGUAAUGAGCCAAUCCAACAGCAUGCCAAUGGUAAUCGACCAAAUCAUUUUAAAUUCAACAUGGAGCGGUUGCGAAACCUACUGGAGCAGCACGAACAGAACAAUCACGCUGAGUUGACUUCCGAAAAGCAAAACAAAUUCCUGCGUAUGCUGGAUGCAAUUUUACAAAACGAAAAAGUUUUGAAGGAAAAGGAAAAGGAAAUAAGAGAUGGUAGUGGCGAAUCGACUUCUAUCGGAAAUUCGUUAUGUGACUGCGGUGGAAAGUAUGCUGAAACACAAUUUGGACCCCUCUUUGCGCUGCUGCUUUGUAUGCUGAGAGUAUUUCCGCACUGCCGAUGAGUAUACCAGUCAUUUCGAAAAAUUGCACCGUGAGAAAUUUCUUAUUGUUGCGGCGGUGGAUCGAUUUCAGACUAGUCAAAAGUUCAACGUUCUACAUCCCUACAAUGCCCUUAAUCCGGUGACAAUAUUCACGAUUUGCAACGUAUACCACACAGCCCUAAUAA